CGUGUGCAACCUGCCUUUAUCAGGGGGAUAGCCUUUCGAAAGGAAGAUUAAUACCCCAUAAUAUUUAAGAUGGCAUCAUUUUAAAUUGAAAACUACGGUGGAUAAAGAUGGGCACGCGCAAGAUUAGAUAGUUGGUGAGGUAACGGCUCACCAAGUCAGUGAUCUUUAGGGGGCCUGAGAGGGUGAUCCCCCACACUGGUACUGAGACACGGACCAGACUCCUACGGGAGGCAGCAGUGAGGAAUAUUGGACAAUGGGUGAGAGCCUGAUCCAGCCAUCCCGCGUGAAGGACGACGGCCCUAUGGGUUGUAAACUUCUUUUGUAUAGGGAUAAACCUAGAUACGUGUAUCUAGCUGAAGGUACUAUACGAAUAAGCACCGGCUAACUCCGUGCCAGCAGCCGCGGUAAUACGGAGGGUGCAAGCGUUAUCCGGAUUUAUUGGGUUUAAAGGGUCCGUAGGCGGAUCAGUAAGUCAGUGGUGAAAUCUCAUAGCUCAACUAUGAAACUGCCAUUGAUACUGCUGGUCUUGAGUAAGGUAGAAGUAGCUGGAAUAAGUAGUGUAGCGGUGAAAUGCAUAGAUAUUACUUAGAACACCAAUUGCGAAGGCAGGUUACUAUGUCUUAACUGACGCUGAUGGACGAAAGCGUGGGGAGCGAACAGGAUUAGAUACCCUGGUAGUCCACGCUGUAAACGAUGCUAACUCGUUUUUGGGUUUUCGGAUUCAGAGACUAAGCGAAAGUGAUAAGUUAGCCACCUGGGGAGUACGAACGCAAGUUUGAAACUCAAAGGAAUUGACGGGGGCCCGCACAAGCGGUGGAUUAUGUGGUUUAAUUCGAUGAUACGCGAGGAACCUUACCAAGGCUUAAAUGGGAAUUGAUCGGUUUAGAAAUAGACCUUCCUUCGGGCAAUUUUCAAGGUGCUGCAUGGUUGUCGUCAGCUCGUGCCGUGAGGUGUUAGGUUAAGUCCUGCAACGAGCGCAACCCCUGUUACUAGUUGCUACCAUUAAGUUGAGGACUCUAGUAAGACUGCCUACGCAAGUAGAGAGGAAGGUGGGGAUGACGUCAAAUCAUCACGGCCCUUACGCCUUGGGCCACACACGUAAUACAAUGGCCGGUACAGAGGGCAGCUACACAGCGAUGUGAUGCAAAUCUCGAAAGCCGGUCUCAGUUCGGAUUGGAGUCUGCAACUCGACUCUAUGAAGCUGGAAUCGCUAGUAAU
This 1218-nucleotide ribosomal RNA is filed under the name Chryseobacterium wanjuense. RNAcentral's name for it is "bacterial SSU rRNA". It matches the Rfam family "Bacterial small subunit ribosomal RNA", at positions 116 to 1342 of the family's 1533-position model. Lineage: Bacteria; Pseudomonadati; Bacteroidota; Flavobacteriia; Flavobacteriales; Weeksellaceae. The record is from RNAcentral.